This 406-nucleotide ribosomal RNA is filed under the name uncultured bacterium. RNAcentral's name for it is "partial 16S ribosomal RNA". It matches the Rfam family "Bacterial small subunit ribosomal RNA", at positions 30 to 526 of the family's 1533-position model. The record is from RNAcentral.
AUUGAACGCUGGCGGCAGGCCUAACACAUGCAAGUCGAACGAGUGGCGGACGGGUGAGUAAUGUCUGGGAAACUGCCUGAGGGUGGGGGAUAACUACUGGAAAAGGUAGCUAAUAACGGAUACCAUGGGAUGUGCCCAGAUGGGAUUAACGCGGAGGUGGUGUAAAGGCUCACAUAGGCGACGAACCCUAGCUGGUCUGAGAGGAUGACCAGCAACACUGGAACUGAGACACGGUCCAGACUCCUACGUGAGGCAGCAGUGGGGAAUAUUGCACAAUGGGCGCAAGCCUGAUGCAGCCAUGCCGCGUGUAUGAAGAAGGCCUUCGGGUUGUAAAGUACUUUCAGCGGGGAGGCGUUACCCGCAGAAGAAGCACCGGCUAACUCCGUGCCAGCCGCCGCGGUAAUAC